UGAAAGGAGAGUGCUUUCUGUGUGGAGGCUACUUUCUGAGAAGGAGUGUUCUAUAAGCAGAAGAACCUCAUCACCAGUUGGUUUGUUGGUUCACAAUACAGCAACAAAACUUUAAACAGAGGAAACUUUAUUCCAAAAGAAAACUCUGUAUCCCCCCGAGAACACCUGGAAGAGGACACGUUUUGCUGUGUUUUCCUUAUGCAUGGCUGCUCUGCUUCCUGCUAUUUUCUUUUUCCACUGCUGUGAUAAUAAGGUGGAUGCUGGAAACACCCUUCAGUGAUCCACAUCUUGCCAAGUAAUGCUCAUCACCAAUAUCUCAGCAUCCUGCAGUAACGCUUUAUGUGUCCUCACACCAAGCAAGUCAGGAAAUGACCUACAAAGACUUCUACAUCAACUCCAGGAAUGAAUGCAAAUAUUGGACACAAAUCUGAACAUUGGAGGACAAGAUUCUUGAGGGUGGGGGUAAUGAAAAAAUGACGACAUACAAGGCAAAGGUUUUUAAGGUGCAGACAGUAAAAUAACAAAAUGUGUCUGGAAAUCUACAUCUUGCAAAUUUUGUUAAUCCAGCACUCCUAAUUUAAGCAUAUAUUUGAGCCAGAGCCACAACCUAAAACUGCUUCCUGCAAGUUCAAAUGGAGCCUCUACAGCAGCACCCGUGAGCUGGUACACUACUUGACCCUCAGCAUGCACCUUUAACAGUUGGGUGUUGACUAAUCCACUCCCAGACUCACUCUCUCUUUUUGGGCCAAAACAUCUUCAUGCUGCACCUGGGCAGGGGGGCAGCUUCAGUAGGAAAGGAGUGUAGCUCAGACAGAGAGGGGGUGAUAACUCCUACAGUAGAUGUAUGUGCUUGUUUCCUUUCAAAUUUAACAGUUAUGGAUUUGCUUACAAUUUAAAUAUCUAAGACUUCACUUCUUCCUUAGGACAAUCAUUUUUCCCUUCUCACUGUGGUCUCCUUGUCUUGACCAGUUCCCUCAAGGCAGCAGCCUGCAGGCCAAGUCAGGCCUCAGCACUACCAUUUUCCACUGAUGAGCUCACACUUACCUCUGGGGGGAAAGGACUGGUACAGGGACGUCUAUCUGAUCCUCACAACAGGAUGUAUGUUGGUGUUGCUGGAGAUACAGAAUGAAAUAGCACAAUAUGACUUUUUUUUUUGUAUUAUCUUCAUGAUAACAGACUUCUUUUCAUCUUACCUGCGUUUUUCACUGCUUUUGUCCAAAACACUUGAAAUCUAAAAUCUGCCAUUGGCAACAGCUGUAAGAAGUGCGUGAGUGUGGAGGGUUGCAUGGCUGCAGACCACCAUUUGUCACAGAAACAAGACCAUGUUCAUGCUUCUCACUUCCUUUCUCGUCAGCCACUAAGGCUGAGACCCUUUGGUCAUCCUCAGUGCUGGCAAGGCGGGGGAUGGCAGGAGGUCUCCCACGUUUUCCACAGUGAAGAAGGCUAAGAUAGGGCACCACUGACUUCAUUACUCUCAGGGCAGGAGUAGGAUCUGUAGCUCUCCAUGUGUCUCCUGCUCUGGCUUCCCCUCGGCCCACAGCCUGUGCAGGCAAGAGGACAGAGCGCUGGAGGUCAUUGCACCCCAAAUACUAAAUACCAGUGACGUUGCAGCUGUGCACGAUUUUAUGUUUAAGUUAAGGGAGUUACUUAUUUCCAGUCACACUCAGUUUGUAAUCGAGGUUGCCAGACUUAUCUCUGGGAACAGGAUUUCUUCUGGAAACAGGCCAUUGUGAAAAUACCCAUAUAUCUACAAAAGACACACUGCUUUCUUCCUUUGGAAAGUUGCAUUUUGUCACUAAAAACAGGGUGGAGGUGUGAUUCUGAUAUUCUCAUUGUCAGGCUUAAGCUUUAAGUGGAAAACUUAGAGACACCAUUGCUGGUAUGCAAUCAAACGUGACAAUCAGAUUACAAUAUCAUUGGCUACCUCCCAAAACAAAAUCUGUUGAUGCUUAUUAAAUCUGAAGAAAAUGAUCUCAUGAUAAAAAUAGCAAUUCAAAUGAAGCCAGACAGACUUGAGUGAUAUUUACCGCAAACAGCUUUCUAGGUGUCUGAGGAAACACUGUGCCACCCAAGAGUCAAUAAAUUAAAUGUGUUUUGAAGAAAUGUUAGCAAGUAAGAGAACAGCUUGUUUGUUUUCAAGUAAAAGGAGAUACUCCAAAAGAAAUAAUGCAGACUGUAUGGGAAGAGCUUAAUUAAUAUCCCUAUACACUAUCUUCCCAGAGAAACAACAGGGAAACAGGAGUCUAUGUCAAUUAAUUGGGCAAAAAUAUCUGCUUAGUUAAAGGGGUGUAAUUAAGAACCAUGUCCUGAGAACUGCUUUUAGAGACCUUUUGCUGCUUAAAAAAAAUUAUCUGGGACAAGUUUUCCACUGAAUAGUAGUUUCAGUAGCAGUAGUUUGUUUGAUUAAAAUGUCUGGACAGAAAGUUUGCAAAGGAUUCAGCCAAUAACAGAAAAAUCUACCUUCAGAUAUUUGCAUUAACUAGAAUCCAUACACAGAAGAAAAAUCAGGUGGUGCUUACUUAGAGAUUGAUGCUUAUUCUGAGUGACAGAUGUUGACACCCCUCCCUUCCCUCUCCUUUUGCAUUUUCCCCUUCUAUUUGUUCUUUGACCAACCUUAACAGAGAUGCUCAGAAUAUAAAUGAAUCAAGUUGUGUAUAUCCCACCAGUAAAAAUAAUGGGUGAUGAAGAAAAGUCCAUGAAAAAAAUAAUAGGCUUUGGACAGCAUGCAACAAAGAAUGCAACAAAAUUUGAGGAAAGAGAAAAUAAAUGGAAUAGCUGCAUUCAAAACAGCCUCCAUUCUUUAAGUUCAAUGCGUCAAGGGGUGCACUGAGAAACAUGGCAGGCAAUUAAAAAAGACCUUGUCAUUAUAUACGUGUACAUGUGAGUAUGAUCACAAUUCUUGCACAGAUCCAACGUUUCUCAAAGUCUGAAUACAAUACUGGAAAAAUAAUAAAGUAUGAUGCAUUUAUCUAAAUGUAUUGAUUCAUCUUAAAGAGUUAUUCCAUAAUGUAUUUUGUAUCCUUGUAUUUCAAAUUUUCA
Molecule: long non-coding RNA, 3039 nt
Organism: Numida meleagris (helmeted guineafowl)
Lineage: Eukaryota; Metazoa; Chordata; Aves; Galliformes; Numididae
Exons: 4
Source: RefSeq, a predicted model, not a curated record